Molecule: ribosomal RNA, 550 nt
Filed under: uncultured bacterium
Lineage: Bacteria
Description: bacterial SSU rRNA
Rfam family: Bacterial small subunit ribosomal RNA
Source: RNAcentral
UGGGGAAUCUUCCGCAAUGGACGAAAGUCUGACGGAGCAACGCCGCGUGAGUGAUGACGGCCUUCGGGUUGUAAAGCUCUGUUAAUCGGGACGAAAGGCCUUCUUGCGAAUAGUUAGAAGGAUUGACGGUACCGGAAUAGAAAGCCACGGCUAACUACGUGCCAGCAGCCGCGGUAAUACGUAGGUGGCAAGCGUUGUCCGGAAUUAUUGGGCGUAAAGCGCGCGCAGGCGGAUUGGUCAGUCUGUCUUAAAAGUUCGGGGCUUAACCCCGUGAUGGGAUGGAAACUGCCAAUCUAGAGUAUCGGAGAGGAAAGUGGAAUUCCUAGUGUAGCGGUGAAAUGCGUAGAUAUUAGGAAGAACACCAGUGGCGAAGGCGACUUUCUGGACGAAAACUGACGCUGAGGCGCGAAAGCCAGGGGAGCGAACGGGAUUAGAUACCCCGGUAGUCCUGGCCGUAAACGAUGAGUACUAGGUGUAGGAGGUAUCGACCCCUUCUGUGCCGGAGUUAACGCAAUAAGUACCCCGCCUGGGGAGUACGACCGCAAGGUUG